Molecule: long non-coding RNA, 219 nt
Organism: Nomascus leucogenys (northern white-cheeked gibbon)
Lineage: Eukaryota; Metazoa; Chordata; Mammalia; Primates; Hylobatidae
Source: RefSeq, a predicted model, not a curated record
CGGCUGAAGGACGGGGAGGAGACCACAGUGGAGGAGAUCAAAGCUUUCUGCAAAGGGAAGAUCUCUCACUUCAAGAUUCCGAGGUACAUCGUGUUCGUCACAAACUACCCCCUCACCAUUUCAGGAAAGAUCCAGAAAUUCAAACUUCGAGAGCAGAUGGAACGACAUCUAAAUCUGUGAAUAAAGCGGGAGGAAGGGUCCGCCCAGGCCCUCCUCCUG